AUGAUUAAUUUUGGAGGUGUGCCUUCUGAUAUUAGGGAUUCCAUUUGGGAAAUUAAAGUUCCCCCGAAUAUACAUGUAUUCUUUUGGCUCAUUUUUAAUAACAAAAGUUUGACUAGAGAUAAUUUGGCCAAAAGAAGGCAUGUAGAUAAUGCUUCUUGUGUGUUCUGCACUGAGCUUGAAACUACCCAACAUUUAUUCUUUGAUUGCACUGUGGCAAGAGAGAUCUGGUCUAUUGUUGCUGACUGUUUUUGCAUUCCAGUUCCCGAUUCUUUUGAAUCUUUAAAACCUUUGUGGAAUCAUAAAAAGAAAAAUGAAGCUGUUAACUUGGUUAUUUUUGCCACCUUGUGGGGCUUAUGGUUGAUGCGAAAUGACUUUGUUUUUCAGGGGCGAAAACGAUGA
This 399-nucleotide ribosomal RNA is filed under the name Triticum aestivum (bread wheat). RNAcentral's name for it is "partial small subunit ribosomal RNA". The record is from RNAcentral. Lineage: Eukaryota; Viridiplantae; Streptophyta; Magnoliopsida; Poales; Poaceae.